UUCCUGCUGUUUCCAAUCACCACCGUUUAACCUCCCGUCACAGGAAACCCUAAUGGAAAAAGGAAGCUUUCAUCAUCAAAUCCACAAAUCUCAAUCAAUUCCAGGCUUCAGUUUAGCGCAAGCAAUUUGCAAACUUUAGAUCGGAAUUUUCUGUCACCGGCGACUUUGAAUAUAUCCUGGAAGCGAUUUGCGACGGUGAAGGCUUUGAAUGCUGAAAAUGAUUCAGUCAUUCCUUUUACGGCCACCGUGUUUGCUCAUGGUGCUUCAAAUCUAUGGGCCCUAAUUAUAGAUGCUAGAGCUGUUUUUUGUUCUGUAGCUUAUGAACUGUCAUCUAUCUUCUUUACAAGGACUGGAUCAUGGGAUAGUUGCAGCCAAUGGAAGCUCUUUAGCUGUUAUAACAAGGGACACUUCCAUAUAUUUCCUUUUGUAUAUAUAUCCGCCUGAGUUUCAAAUAUUGUAUUUACUCUUAGAAAACACUAAAAAGAUCUUAUUUAUUCAACAAUAUAUAAGGUCACGUGCUUUGUGCGAAACAAACCUAUUACCUGCUAUAUUGGUGAAUGAUUAUUAUAAAAUUUUUGCAGGCAUGAAGUUGAGCUUGCUGCAGCCGCGAGCCAGCCUUUCCCAAAUGAUGAUGAUGCUUAUAAAGAGGUCAAGGUCACUUUUUUUAGUAAAUGGGUCAGGGUUAUCAUUUUUAGUAAACGGAUCAAAUUAUCAUUUUAUAACCAGGUUAGAUUACCAUUUUAGCAAACAAGGGUCAAGGUUACCAUUUUUAUUUUGUGGGUUCAAGGUAACAAUGGAUGCGCAAGGAGAACCAAGUUGACCCAUUCAGCAAAUGGGUCAACAUUAUAUUUGUUUACUAUAAUUUACCCAUCUUACCCAUUAUAAUUGUGUAUUGUUCCGGUUAUAAUUUACAUGCUUUGCUUUUGGUAUUUUCUUUUUUGCUCGACCAAGGCCGCAACAAAUUGAGGCAUGUGAAGUUACAGUGGAAGAUUGGGAAAUUCAUGUACAAAUUGAGUAAGUCUUGUAAUCAACGAGAUACUCACCCGACUCGGGCUCUAAAGGAACAUGCAUGUCGAUAAUGCUCUUAAUUCUUCAGCUCUAGCCAAGAGGAAUGUGAUCGGGGGAACGAGAUGUGUCCGAUCUGCGGCCUUGAGCCAGAGACAACCGAUCUAUUGGCCAGGUGCCUUUUUGCAAAAACGGUGAGGUGGUUGGUUUGCGUCUGGACAAAGGUUCUGGUGCGGUGGUGCCAAUUCCUUUGACUCUGUAGCCCAAAUGCUUUAUCAUUGCCACGACUAG
Molecule: long non-coding RNA, 1296 nt
Organism: Helianthus annuus (common sunflower)
Lineage: Eukaryota; Viridiplantae; Streptophyta; Magnoliopsida; Asterales; Asteraceae
Exons: 5
Source: RefSeq, a predicted model, not a curated record